UACAGAGGUCUCAAGCGUUGUUCGGAUUCAUUGGGCGUAAAGGGUGUGUAGGUGGCGCCGUAAGUCGGGUGUGAAAUCUCCCGGCUUAACUGGGAAACUGCAUCGGAAACUGAUCGGCUUGAAGGUGGGAGAGGGUAGUGGAAUUCCCGGUGUAGUGGUGAAAUGCGUAGAUAUCGGGAGGAACACCAGUGGCGAAGGCGACUACCUGGCCCAUUCUUGACGCUGAGGCGCGAAAGCUAGGGGAGCGAACGGG
This 253-nucleotide ribosomal RNA is filed under the name uncultured bacterium. RNAcentral describes it as "partial 16S ribosomal RNA". It matches the Rfam family "Bacterial small subunit ribosomal RNA", at positions 524 to 776 of the family's 1533-position model. The record is from RNAcentral.